UCCUUUCCACACAUGCUACAUUCGCGUUCGUUGCAAGCUUUCUUACACUGGUAAUCUCACGUAUUGGCCCAUACGGGCAAAUGCGCCAACUAGCACUUACUAAUUAUAAUAACUUCACUCAAGAGGAAGAUGACAAUCUUCUGACUUCAAACUCUGGACUAAGCCUUCAGAUGUUCGAAGAACACUGAAUCAGAGAAGACCGCAAAUUUUGGAGACAUGAUUUGUCAACGAUCCACCUUUACUACACUUCAUCAUUCCAGCAAUUCCACGCGAUGACUAAAAUCAAGAUCCUCGUAAGAUACCCUGAAAUGUCUGCUAACUGAGACAGCUUUAGGAUUGAGCGAUCACAUCAUGACGUACAGACGUAACAGACAUCCGGGAAGUCCGUGGAUAUGACUCAGUAAUCGCCGUAUUCUCAGCAGUAAUGGAACGAACACUUCAUUAGAAAGCUGUCUACUUACGCAGGAUAACUUCUUAAGCACCCACUUUCAGUAAUGACCCACUGCUUAGGACGUUAUGAUCCUGAUUAGAAUUCUGGUUUUUGCACAAGAAAUUUGUAACAUUUGUAACGGGCGCUUAGAUCAUUUCUCUGACAUUAAUUAUUGAUUCUUAACAAAAAUCCCAGCAUUAUUCACACGCAUAUGUAAAAGUUAGCAUUAACUAUUUGUAGUUUGCACGGUAGAAUGUUGUGUCAAAUCAGCUAAUGUUUAAAAAAACCCAAUUCCGUCUCUCCUUCCAUUAUGUACAACCCUUGCACGCAACCAAGAGAAUAUUCUCUGGAUGCAACUAAUUCACAGCACUCUCUUCGACUAAGUACUAAUUCACAUGUCCCAAACGCAAUAAUGAAAACAAAUUCAUUCAUUAAGUAAUAGAUCCCCAAAAUACAAUGUAAUGAUGACAAGCAUUAACUAACCACUGUUUUAAUUGGACUAAUAAACUAACUUUCUAAUUAACCGAUUACUUACCAACUCACAUACUAAUUGACUAACAUACUAACUAACCAAUUAACUAAUUGCAAGGGUAACAUACUAAUAUAUACUAAUAUAUACUAAUACAUACUAAUAUAGUGACAACUAAUAAUGAAACAUGCCAACAUCUUUCUCUGAACUCCUCUCUACUAUUCUCAAUAUAGCUAAUAGGUUUACUAACUCUCAAACUAACCAACACACUGGCUCCCCACGAUCAGCAGUUUAUCUUUCUGUAACAUACUAAUAACUUAUACGAUGUCUAACAGAUAUGUUUUGUUCUGUACGUGUCCUCAGUUCCUUUAUCAAUUACUCUCUUACUAAUAUUGUACCAAUUAAUGAAAUCACCAACUAAGCUUGGCAUUAACUAACUUUCAAAUUUACUGCCUUACUAUCUAGCCAACUAACCAACUAAUUAAUAGGAUAACUGACUAACUAAUUUAUUACGUAACCAAUUAAUUACCGAACUGACUAACAAAAUAACUAACUGAUUAGCUAAAAAAAUGAUUACCAAACCAACUAACUAACUAAAAAACUAACGUACUGAUCAACUAACUAUUUAACCACUCGACUUACUAAUUUGUAAUAAAAACACCCACCGAUAUCUUUGAGUGUAACAUAACGAUCCAAGUUAAUUCUCUCGUCCUCAAUCCCCAUAUAUAUAAUAUAUUAAUUUUCUCACCUACCGCAGUGGUUGCACAAUCAAUUUGACUUAAAAAUAACCAUUACAGUGGAGUGACUAACUGAGAUUAACUUAAUAACAUACCUAUUACUAAUUACUGAAAGGCAUUGCUCAUAUCCCCUAAUUAAUUGCCUCUCUAACUAACCGGCUCUAGACAACCCUUUGUACUAAUUCUCUAUCCUCAACUGAUUUUUCUCCUUAAUCAGUUCUUCGUCUAACACAACUUUGCUCUUUUAUAUAUCUUUCUGUCAAAACAAAAUUUUCUUCCCUUCACUGAACAGUUUCCUAUUUGAUCAAUACACUUGGAAAGUAAUUUCCAAUAAAAUCAUUCUCAGUUAAAUAACCAAGGGCAAAUUUAUGCAUUGCCAUUCAGCAUGGCGACUGAGAUUCACAACAAUCUAGUUUUGUUCUGAUCUCCUUAUUGUGCUUAUUGAAACCUUUAAUCAAAGUAUUAGUUGAUCAUUCUUCAUUUAGUCGUUUUACUAACCAUAUGGAUUUCAGAAUCUUGUCUUAAAAAUUGUUCAACUCUGGAAUGGAAUGUUAGAAACUCCCAGUCGUUUUUCGUUUUAUUUCUUAUGGUAAAAGAGCUCAACUAUAGUUUACUUUCAGCAAAGUUGAAAUAAAAUUUGGUUUGUUACUUCA
Pocillopora verrucosa is the source of this 2289-nucleotide long non-coding RNA. RefSeq lists it as uncharacterized. The record is from RefSeq and is a predicted model, not a curated record. Lineage: Eukaryota; Metazoa; Cnidaria; Anthozoa; Scleractinia; Pocilloporidae.